UGGGGAAUAUUGGACAAUGGGCGAAAGCCUGAUCCAGCCAUGCCGCGUGUGUGAAGAAGGCCCUCGGGUUGUAAAGCACUUUCAGUGGGGAAGAAAGCCUCGGGAUUAAUACUUCCGAGGAAGGACAUCACCCACAGAAGAAGCACCGGCUAACUCCGUGCCAGCAGCCGCGGUAAUACGGAGGGUGCGAGCGUUAAUCGGAAUUACUGGGCGUAAAGCGCGCGUAGGCGGUCUGAUCAGCCGGUUGUGAAAGCCCCGGGCUCAACCUGGGAACGGCAUCCGGAACUGUCAGGCUAGAGUGCAGGAGAGGAAGGUAGAAUUCCCGGUGUAGCGGUGAAAUGCGUAGAGAUCGGGAGGAAUACCAGUGGCGAAGGCGGCCUUCUGGACUGACACUGACGCUGAGGUGCGAAAGCGUGGGUAGCAAACAGGAUUAGAUACCCUGGUAGUCCACGCCGUAAACGAUGUCGACUAGCCGUUGGGGUCCUUGAGACCUUUGUGGCGCAGUUAACGCGAUAAGUCGACCGCCUGGGGAGUACGGCCGCAAGGUUA
RNAcentral lists this ribosomal RNA (549 nucleotides) under gamma proteobacterium R2-Apr-MIB-2. RNAcentral's name for it is "bacterial SSU rRNA". It matches the Rfam family "Bacterial small subunit ribosomal RNA", at positions 355 to 896 of the family's 1533-position model. The record is from RNAcentral. Lineage: Bacteria; Pseudomonadati; Pseudomonadota; Gammaproteobacteria.